AGGAUGCCAUCUGCUAGCACCAUGACUGGCGGGAGAGCAUUGCUGCUCUGUACAAACACAGAGGACUGCAUCUACCAAUCAGCAAACGGGAAGUCUUACGAGUUUGAAGAUCUUCUACAGUCUGCAGCAGAAGGAUGUCGAACAGAUUUGUACGAGCUUUCUAAGCUU
This 168-nucleotide long non-coding RNA is filed under the name Danio rerio (zebrafish). RNAcentral's name for it is "lncRNA si:dkey-82f1.1 (ENSDARG00000096850.3)". Lineage: Eukaryota; Metazoa; Chordata; Actinopteri; Cypriniformes; Danionidae. The record is from RNAcentral.